AGCUAUAACUUGUAUUCGGAGAAUGACUUGCCCAGCUGCCAAAAUUAGCUCCAGACCAUCAAGAGACUGAACCUUCUUAAAGCCUCUUCACAAUUUCUUCAUUUACACGAUCAUAGUAAGUCAUUCUCCGAAUACAAGUUAUAGCUUCUUCAAAUUUCUCACUUUGAAAAGCAUUUGCAAAGGAAUUAGACCAAUGUUGCAAUUUUUCUCUCAUCUGGGAUUGAAUCUCAGUUAAAGCUUUAGAGUCAGGUGCCUCUUCAACCGCUUCCCUGAUUUCCAUAAUCUCCGCUAACAAUUGUGGUUCUGAAAUUGUUUCUUCUUCAUUAACAUUUACUCCUUCAAGCUUUAAAAUGUAUAUUGCCCUUAACCGCGGAUUGCGAAGAGUUCUGCACGCAUCAGUCACCCGAGCAGACUGCUCCGCCGCAAAAUCUCUCUCUUUCUGAGAUUUCGAAUGAACUAAAUCAGGAUGCAAUUUUUUCUGCCAGUCUUUGUACUUCCCUUCCAGAUUCUCAUCCUUCAUUUCAUACUUCUUCUCCAGUCCAAAUAUCUGGAAGUAAUCAAUAGACUGAUCAACGGGCUGGAUGGUUCCACACGAUUCACAAGCCAGAAAC
This 611-nucleotide unclassified non-coding RNA is filed under the name Hevea brasiliensis (rubber tree). Lineage: Eukaryota; Viridiplantae; Streptophyta; Magnoliopsida; Malpighiales; Euphorbiaceae. The record is from RNAcentral.